CUAUGCGCCUUGCCAGCCCGCUCAGGUGUGCCAGCAGCCGCGGUAAUACGGAGGAUGCGAGCGUUAUCCGGAUUUAUUGGGUUUAAAGGGUGCGUAGGCGGGAUGCCAAGUCAGCGGUAAAAAUGCGGUGCUCAACCCCGGCCUGCCGUUGAAACUGGUGGCCUCGAGUGGGCGAGAAGUAUGCGGAAUGCGUGGUGUAGCGGUGAAAUGCAUAGAUAUCACGCAGAACCCCGAUUGCGAAGGCAGCCUUCCGGCGCCCUACUGACGCUGAGGCACGAAAGUGCGGGGAUCGAACAGG
Molecule: ribosomal RNA, 298 nt
Filed under: uncultured bacterium
Lineage: Bacteria
Description: partial 16S ribosomal RNA
Rfam family: Bacterial small subunit ribosomal RNA
Source: RNAcentral